Eleginops maclovinus (Patagonian blennie) is the source of this 3816-nucleotide RNA transcript. It is a transcript of the gene named BAR/IMD domain containing adaptor protein 2b, with no coding region annotated. NCBI's taxonomy places the organism in Eukaryota, Metazoa, Chordata, Actinopteri, Perciformes, Eleginopidae. The transcript is spliced from 15 exons. The record is from RefSeq and is a predicted model, not a curated record.
GCUCCGGCGGACUGACUGCGUGGGGAGCAGUGUGGGCGCAGCGGAGGACUUUCCUAUAAAAGCAGGGAUCCCACGGCCAGCCGAGCUUGUCUCUCUGUCACUGGCAAGAAAAGAGCAGCGAGUCCCCGCCAGCAGCUGUGUUGUUUCUCCAGCCACAGCUCGGAAAAGCGUCCCGACCUCACCUUAAAGGAAACCUCUAGUCUAUGGUUCUGACUGACGCUCCAACAAGGAUGUCCCGGACCGACGAGGUGCACCGUAUAACGGAGAAUGUCUACAAGUCCAUCAUGGAGCAGUUCAACCCGUGCUUGCGGAACUUCAUCGCCAUGGGAAAAAGCUACGAGAAGGCGCUCACCAGUGUCACAUUUGCUGCAAAGGGCUACUUCGACGCUCUGGUGCGGAUGGGCGAGAUGGCCAGCGAAAGUCAAGGCUCUAAGGAUCUUGGGGAGGUGCUCUUUCAGAUGGCUGAAGUGCACCGACAGAUCCAGAUCCAGCUUGAGGAGAUGCUGAAGUCUUUCCACAACGAGCUGCUCACAGAGCUGGAGAAGAAGGUGGAGCUGGACGCUCGCUACCUGAACGCCGCGCUGAAGAAGUACCAGAUGGAGCACAAGAGCAAAGGGGAGAGUUUGGAGAAGUGCCAGGCGGAGCUGAAAAAGCUGCGCAGAAAGAGCCAGGGCAGCAAGCACCCGUCCAAGUAUGGAGACAAGGAGAUGCAGUACGUGGAGGCCAUCAGCAAUAAGCAGAGCGAGCUGGACAACUAUAUCGCAGAGGGCUACAAGCACGCUCUGUCUGAGGAGAGGAGGAGGUACUGCUUCCUGGUGGACCGUCAGUGUGCCGUCGCCAAGAACAGCAGCGUCUACCACGGCAAGGGGAAGGAGCUUUUAACCCAGAAGAUCCCAGCGUGGCAGCAGGCGUGUGCCGAGCCCAACAAACUGCCAGACCGGGCCAUGUUCCUGGCCCAGCAGAUGAGCGGUGUGGCGGGCGCCAUGGUUCCCAUCGCGCAUCAUCCAGGCUUGCCCCUCUCCGAGCCCAUCGCUGGGGCCAAACCCCUGCCAGUGCCUCCAGAGCUGGCAGCCCUCAGGGCCAGUGGAGGCAUGGGACAGCAGAGGCUGAUGGGAGGCGUUGAAGGAGGGAUGCCCGUGAUGAACGGCACGGCGGGGGCUCACGGAGGGGAGGACUACCAACAGUGGAUGGAGGGCAAGGUGGCCCAGGGGAAAGCCUCACCACAGACCCAGCGGCACGGAGGGGAGGUGUACUCCAACACCCUGCCUGUGCGCAAGGUUGCCCCCGCUAAGAACAAGACCACCCUGACGGAGACCCGCACGCUGCCCCGGUCCAGCUCCAUGGCAGCAGGGCUGGAGAAAAACGGCAGGACUCGAGUCCAGGCCAUCUUCUCCCACACAGCUGGGGACAACAGCACCCUGCUCAGCUUCUUCGAGGGCGAUGUGAUAACCCUGCUGGUCCCCGAGGCCCGGGAUGGCUGGCACUACGGAGAGAACGAGAAGACCAGGAUGCGUGGCUGGUUUCCCUUCUCCUACACCCGGGUGAUCUCUGACGGGGACACCAAUUCCAUGAGGCAGCUUCGAGUACACAACCUCCAUGGGAAGAGCAGUAGCACAGGGAACCUCCUGGAGAGAGAAGACAUGGCAGUCCCCGUCCCUGAUUACGGCGUCCACUCCCAUAUGGCAGCACAGAGCGCUGCUGCGCUGCAUGGCAGACAACAACGCCCCUACAGUGUGGCCGUGCCAGGCUUCCCACAGCAAGGAGCUGAAGAGUAUGAGCCCCGCUUCCCUACAAGUUCCACAGAGGGCAAAUUGAUUUCGACAGUGUGAGGACAGACAGACAGACACACUGAGCCAGAUGAUGCGAUAGGACAGACUCCUCGCUCCCCUCCUCCUUACCCCAUGUCCCCCGCCUCCUAACCUCCAACUUACAGCAAUAAACUCUUCCCUGAGCCAAUCAAUGCAAGGAAGAGGCUUUGUUCUGUAUCCCCCCCCCUCCCUCACUGAUCUCCCCUCUUCCUCCACCCAACCCCGCUCUGAGCUGUCUAACUGGCCACCAGGGGGGGGCCACUGGUGAAGCCUUGGUGUGCAACGAUACAGACUGUGCCAUCCGAAUAAUCAAACUCAAAAGGGAUGGACAUUUUCUCUGAGGAAAAUGUAUCUUUUGCUUGUCUUUCAUGCAUGUACAUUUCUUUUACAUAUCGCUGGGGAUUAUAUUUCCUCACGGAAAGGAACCUGAUUUCCACAAAUGUAAGUGCUCCCUCCACCAGAAUGACAAUGUAAAGGAUAUGUGAAUCAGGAAGUGAAACGAAUGAUCCCAAAGAGGAUUUAUCGUGCAAAACAAAAAGGUAUUACAAUCGAUAUUUUACUGGCUCUUUCAGUAUUUAACAAUAAUUUUAACCUUUUCAUGCUGUGAGGUUUUGUAUUCCUCUGACAUAAGAGGCCAUGUAUCACGAGAUGUGAACCGCUCAUGUAAAUGUUUUGUGGAACAGAUGUGAUGGGAAUGUUACCUGUACAUAAAUGUGCCAUACAGAAGUCAUAAAAGUAUAUACGAGUUCAUGAAAAAAUGCACCUUAUAAAAGUAAUAAUCUAUAUUUCUGACUUUCUGUGAACAACUCACUGUAACGUUUUCAGUAUCAGCCUUUGAACUUGUUGGAGGACACUGUGCUCACACACAGCUAGGUGCUCGGGGUCCUCGCACUAUCUAUCGCAGUGUGUGAAUGUCAUUCCAAGGCUGGGUGGGGUCAACUGUCCCUCGCCCCUAUGUGACUUGCAAGGCUCUGAGUUUGGUUACUGCGGAAACCAUUAGUUUAUUAGUAAAUAAACUGAAAAUUGGGUUUUGGGUUUUCCCUUUCCUGUAGUGCGUUAUAGGUUUCAGUGCAUGUAAAUGGUCUGCAGAGGAUAAAAUCCACGAGUUUCUUUCACGUACUCCCUGAAACACUCCCAUUGGACUCCUUAAUGUCAUCACUAUUUCAUAAUCGCGCAUCUAUUGGCUAGCGGUGCAACACAUUGUACGCCAUAGGUGGGACAUCACAACUGAGCCGGCCAGCUAACCAAUCAGAGCAGAGUUGGCUCUGGUUUCAGACAGAGGGUGAACAUUUUUUAAAUAAAAAGCUUUCUGAACAUUAAAGGAUGGAAACACGUCACGGUAGAGGCACAAAAUACAAAUAUGAACCUGAAAAUGAGCAGAAUAGGGCCCCUUUAAUUUUUAAGAGAAAUGCUAACCAUUUGAUGCCUCCAGCUUCUUGGUCCAGCUUCUCAAAUGUUUGCACCUUUUUUCUUUUAUAUUUCUUUGGGUUUGUUUACUUCAGAUUAAAUAUAUUACAUUUGGAGAAAUUAUUGGUUGAUUUACUUGAUAAUAUUCUAAAUAAAGUUGUGUUAAAGUGGUCACACUAGGCUAGGUUCAUUCAUAAAAAAAAUAUAAAUGUUGUUUGCUCGUGCGCUAGAACAUUUGCAAACAUUUAGCAUCUUUGUUUAUUUGCUCUUAUUAUAGCACCUACUAGUGAUGCAACACAUUUCAAAAGUACUGUACAAUAUGCUGAUACACUUCUGGUUUCAAAUGAGGCAUUAGUAGUAUUACUAUUAUAAUAUUGUGUGUCCUUGCAUCAGAGUGGUGUUUACGCUGAACCAAUUCCAUCCAUUUACUGCUCAGCCUCUGCAGUCUUGAAGGGGAGAUGAGUGGAUUUGAUGUUGGAGCCUCACUCAGCCUUCUUGUUCUGUUGUGAUUGCAAUAAAGGCUUGAUUUCCAAACCCCUAGACAAAAGUCGAGUGCAAACGACUGCGAGCUGCCAGUGUUUCUUCUUUCUCCACUAAAAUA